CCUACGGGGGGCAGCAGUGAGGAAUAUUGGUCAAUGGACGAGAGUCUGAACCAGCCAAGUAGCGUGAAGGAUGACUGCCCUAUGGGUUUUAAACUUCUUUUAUAAAGGAAUAAAACGAGGCACGUGUGCCUUUUUGCAUGUACUUUAUGAAUAAGGAUCGGCUAACUCCGUGCCAGCAGCCGCGGUAAUACGGAGGAUCCGAGCGUUAUCCGGAUUUAUUGGGGUUAAAGGGAGCGUAGAUGGGUUUUUAAGUCAGUUGUGAAAGUUUGCGGCUCAACCGUAAAAUUGCAAUUGAUACUGGCAGUCUGGAGUACAGUUGAGGUAGGCGGAAUUCGUGGUGUAGCGGUGAAAUGCUUAGAUAUCACGAAGAACCCCGAUUGCGAAGUCAGCUUACUAAACUGUGACUGACAUUGAUGCUCGAAAGUGUGGGUAUCAAACAGGAUUAGAUACCCGGGUAGUC
RNAcentral lists this ribosomal RNA (460 nucleotides) under uncultured bacterium. RNAcentral's name for it is "partial 16S ribosomal RNA". It matches the Rfam family "Bacterial small subunit ribosomal RNA", at positions 338 to 795 of the family's 1533-position model. The record is from RNAcentral.